GACGAACGCUGGCGGCGUGCCUAACACAUGCAAGUCAAGGGUGUAGCAAUACACACUGGCGAACGGGUGAGUAACGCGUAGGUAACCUGCCCUUAUCCCCGACACAACUCAGAGAAAUUUGAGCUAAUAUCGGAUGAGGCAUUUCGAUGUCAAAGGAGCGAUCUGGAUAAGGAGGGGCCUGCGUCCCAUCAGCUAGUUGGUAGGGUAAAGGCCUACCAAGGCAAAGACGGGUAGGGGGCCUGAGAGGGUGACCCCCCACACUGGCACUGAAACACGGGCCAGACACCUACGGGUGGCAGCAGUAGGGAAUAUUGCACAAUGGGCGAAAGCCUGAUGCAGCAACGCCGCGUGCGCGAUGACGGCCUUCGGGUUGUAAAGCGCUUUUCGGGGAGAUGAGGAAGGACAGUAUCCCCGGAAUAAGGCUCGGCUAACUACGUG
This 438-nucleotide ribosomal RNA is filed under the name uncultured bacterium. Its description in RNAcentral is "bacterial SSU rRNA". It matches the Rfam family "Bacterial small subunit ribosomal RNA", at positions 28 to 507 of the family's 1533-position model. The record is from RNAcentral.